Molecule: long non-coding RNA, 237 nt
Filed under: Elaeis guineensis (African oil palm)
Lineage: Eukaryota; Viridiplantae; Streptophyta; Magnoliopsida; Arecales; Arecaceae
Description: long non-coding RNA (EGUI_LNC053350)
Source: RNAcentral
CCAUCAUUCAAAGGAAUUGAGACAAGAUCUUCCAUUGGCCCACCCCGUUCUUCAGUCAGAUCAUCAUGAGUGUCCAAUCCAUCGACUGGAUAGGGGUCAGGCUGACCACUUCUUUGCAGGGCUAUAUUAUAGCAAUGCCUUGCCAGGGCUUGAUCUCCUCUAACUUCUCCAACCCCCUGGUUGGUAGGAAAUUUUAAUUUCAGAUGGUAGGUCGAUACUACAGCUCAGAGGGAGUUG